GACGAACGCUGGCGGCGUGCCUAACACAUGCAAGUCGAGCGGAGAUGAUGUGAGGAAGUUUUCGGAUGGAAUCACAUUAUUUAGCGGCGGACGGGUGAGUAACGCGUGAGCGACCAACCUUGCACAGGGGGAUAACGGACCGAAAGGUUCACUAAUACCGCAUGAGACCACGGUGUUGCAUGACACAGAGGUCAAAGGAGGAAUCCGGUGCAAGACGGGCUCGCGUCCGAUUAGGUAGUUGGAGGGGUAACGGCCCACCAAGCCUAUGAUCGGUAGCCGACCUGAGAGGGUGAUCGGCCACAUUGGAACUGAGAUACGGUCCAAACUCCUACGGGAGGCAGCAGUGGGGAAUAUUGGGCAAUGGGGGAAACCCUGACCCAGCAACGCCGCGUGAAGGAAGAAGGUUUUCGGAUUGUAAACUUCUGUCCUUGGUGAAGAGAAGAAGACGGUAGCCAAGGAGGAAGCCCCGGCUAACUACGUGCCAGCAGCCGCGGUAAACGUAGCGUG
This 507-nucleotide ribosomal RNA is filed under the name uncultured bacterium. RNAcentral's name for it is "bacterial SSU rRNA". It matches the Rfam family "Bacterial small subunit ribosomal RNA", at positions 28 to 534 of the family's 1533-position model. The record is from RNAcentral.